GGACUUCGAGUGAUUUGCAACAAUGUCACCCGUAAGGUGAUGACGAUGUAGGAAGCCGGUGCGAAUCCGGCGCGGUCCC
RNAcentral lists this transfer RNA (79 nucleotides) under Mycobacterium triplex. The record is from RNAcentral. Lineage: Bacteria; Bacillati; Actinomycetota; Actinomycetes; Mycobacteriales; Mycobacteriaceae.